CUUAUGUGGCCAGGCCUAUACGCUUCCGAGAUCCGAGUUCCGAUGAGUUUAGACAGCGCGCACAUACAGUUCGCUGUGAAGUUAGCUGUAUACACUGCAUCGGAGGAUCCAGAUUUUUGAGUCGAGUCUAGAGUUCUAAAAAAUUUUACUAUGGGAUAAAGAGGAAAUAUCUCUGCUGAUUCUUCAAGAAGAAAAGUAAACAAUUACUACAAUAUUGCACAGGAUGUAUUAGUGACCUCGAAUAACCCAAAACAAGAUACAAAUUUCAUAAAAUACGUUAUAGUGAUGCUCUUUAUGAACUGGAAGCAAAUAGAAAAAAAAUGAAGAGACGCAGAAUAUUCUGCAGGGUACAGAUAGUAGUUCAAAAUCAUGUAGUCAAACAGUAAAUCAUGAUAAUAAAAAAAAAUAUGAAAAACCAACUGGUGUUGAUGAAGAAAUUCUGAAAGAAGUCGACAUAGAAAAUAAGUUGAAAAAUCUGCAGGAUGAUGAUUUGGAUUUUAACCAAAAUGAUGAGGAUGAAGAAAGUUUAAAAAAUAGAAUAUUGAUUUUAGAACUCGAGAAGAAAGAAUAUCUACAACUACACGUCAGAGAAACUCAAGAAUACAAGAAAAAAAUCUGCGAACAAUCAGAAAUGAUACGUGAUUUAAACAAAGAAUUAGCCAGGAUGGACAAACAAUUAUUGUAUGCUCAACCAAUUUACAACAGAACUCUAGAAAAUUCCACCGCAUACUCAGCAAGAAGGUCACUAUUUCCAAAAGUUUCAGAAAGUAGGGAAUCGCAUACCUGCAUGAAAGAGACUGUUGAUGCACGGUAUACAGAAUCUAGUGUAAAUGUGGAACAGUCACAUAUAGAUGCUGCAGUAUCAACAAACUUUCAAAAAAUUAAUGUUUCUCGCAGUAUGCAACUAAAUAAAAGAAAAUCAAUAGAAGUGAAUAGUUCACCUCCUACGAAACAAUAGAAACCUGUCUCAACGAAUGAAUUUUCUAGUGAAACUCUAAGUCCUGCAUCGCAUCCAAACAGUUAUGAAAAUAGUUCUUUUAAACAUUUAGCAGAUGAAAUGGUUCAAGAAAGGCUUAUAACAUCACCUACUCCUAUAGCUUCCGGGACCUCAGAGCUCAGCAUAAUUUCAGAAAAAAGUAAAGAUUAUCGUACACUAGUAAAUCAGCACAAAAAAGCAAAAAUAAGAGAACUUGAAGCCAAUGUAAAUAAAAACUAUACAGUACAGAUUGCUGAUGAAGACAAAAAUAGUAAGAAUAAAAGUAAGAAGAAAAAGAUCAAGAAAAAUAAGAAAAGGAAAUCAUCUGGAGACAGGCACACAGGUAAAAAUAAAAAUAAAAAAGUCCACAGAAGCAAAAACAGCUACUCCAGCAAAACUGACUCCGAAUACGACUCUGAUAAGUACAAUAAUGAAGAUCAGAUGCAGGAUAUGAUAUUGUGGAAGAAAGAAGUGAAUGGGAGAACAAGUUAGCAUGAUUCAUUUGAAACAUGGUGUAUCCAUUGAAGUUUCUCAAUGGAAGGAAAUAAAAAAAGAAAAAAGACCAACUUAUUUCUUAAGGAAAUUGGCAAGAGCGAUUUGGGGCUCCUAUCACCUAGCAAAUAGAGCUCUUAAUGUAAAGAAAUGCACGUCUUCUCUCCCCAAUGGUUCUCCCAAAAAAGCAUUAACGCCUGUUAAAAAGGCUGUAUUGAGAAAGCUCUAUUUUUCUUUUAUACAAGAUAAAAUAAAGGACAGAGAAGAUUGAAUCGGUCUAAGAAAAUCCUGGAAAACAGAAUUAGGUAGCAUUAUAAACUAUUUAAUGCGAAAAUAUCGUACACAAAAAGCAGAUUCAUCGUCGAGUUCGAACUCAGGUAGCUCCAACUCAACUAGCCACUCUUCUAGUAUAUAUGGCAGCGACUGAAAGAUUAUAGUUCCUAUACUUUGAAGUUUAAACUGACUGUUAAGUUUAAACUGACUUUUAAAACUUUAAAAAUAUGUUUUAGUUAAAAAAUGUAUUUGCGUGUUAAGUACUUACGUGUUAGUACUUUAAUAAAUAUAAAUUAAAUUUGUUUAUGGUACUGCUUCAGUACUAAGGUUAUUUUUUAUAUGUUUUAUAUCAAAGUGUAGAAAAAUGUAACUACGGAUAAUGUUUUUGAAACAUUCAAUGUAUCAAUGAUAUCACACUCUAUUAUA
This 2167-nucleotide long non-coding RNA is filed under the name Nasonia vitripennis (jewel wasp). RNAcentral describes it as "uncharacterized LOC100679088, transcript variant X1". Lineage: Eukaryota; Metazoa; Arthropoda; Insecta; Hymenoptera; Pteromalidae. The record is from RNAcentral.